This 377-nucleotide ribosomal RNA is filed under the name uncultured bacterium. Its description in RNAcentral is "bacterial SSU rRNA". It matches the Rfam family "Bacterial small subunit ribosomal RNA", at positions 523 to 898 of the family's 1533-position model. The record is from RNAcentral.
AUACGUAGGUGGCAAGCGUUGUCCGGAUUUACUGGGUGUAAAGGGCGUGUAGGCGGGAGAGCAAGUCAGAUGUGAAAUACCGAAGCUCAACUUCGGGGCUGCAUUUGAAACUGUUCUUCUUGAGUGCAGGAGAGGAAAGCGGAAUUCCUAGUGUAGCGGUGAAAUGCGUAGAUAUUAGGAGGAACACCAGUGGCGAAGGCGGCUUUCUGGACUGUAACUGACGCUGAGGCGCGAAAGCGUGGGUAGCAAACAGGAUUAGAUACCCUGGUAGUCCACGCCGUAAACGAUGGAUACUAGGUGUUGGGGGUAUCGACCCCUCCAGUGCCGGAGUUAACACAAUAAGUAUCCCACCUGGGGAGUACGGCCGCAAGGUUGAA